Long non-coding RNA from Vigna radiata var. radiata (mung bean), 894 nucleotides. RefSeq lists it as uncharacterized. NCBI's taxonomy places the organism in Eukaryota, Viridiplantae, Streptophyta, Magnoliopsida, Fabales, Fabaceae. The record is from RefSeq and is a predicted model, not a curated record. The transcript is spliced from 2 exons.
AUAACCCGUAUAAAAGUUUUGAUAUUCUUUCUUCUGCGCUUUUCUCUCUGCUACCCCUUUCUCUCGUCUACAACAAGAUGCAAGGUCUUCGCGUUUGUGUUUCGGAUGAUUUCAAUUUGGAUAGAAUACUAUUAUCCAUACAAUUCUUUAUUUUGUAAAGCAUAUAUAUAUAUAUAUAUAUAUAGAGAGAGAGAGAGAGAGAGAGUGUGAUGGAGGAGAAGACAGAGAAGGUGAAGGGUGAGGCGCUGCAGAUAAUCGAAGCGUUUGAGGUUCUGCCAAAGCUCGUGGUUUUCGAUCUCAAUUACACUCUCUCUGGCCUUUCUACUGUGAGUGUCGAUCGAAGCGUGAAAUGCCCUCUCUGUAUCCUCACGCCAAAUGCAUAUUGUUAGCGCUCAAAGAGAAAGGCAUCGACGUUGCAGUCGCUUCUCACUCACCAACCGCUGACAUAGCAACAGUUUUCCUCAACAAAUUGGUCCUCUCCUCACUCUUCGUCGCACAGGUCAAUUCUUGUGCUUAUCUUGCUUUUUCAAUUCUCCGUUGCGUCGUCCAUCUCGAUGUUCAAACUCGUCCUCCGUCGCGCCCUCGAUCUCUCGCCUUCCGUCUCGCCGCCUUUGUUCUUGUCAUUCGAUUUCGCUUUCGUUCCCGCCAUUUGCGCCGUCUGUCGACCUCGCCGUAGCUCUUGUCGUCGACCUUGCCGUAGCUCUGGUCGACCUCGCUGUAUCGUCUUCGAACACCGUAAACCCUCUUACAGUAUUAACUUGGUUUUACGAUCUUAGAGUAAGCAGUUUAAUGACUAAACUUUACAGCAGAGACAACAUAUAUUUUAAUAAUUUUAUGUUUUACAUCAGUAUAUAUUUCAACUUUUGGCAACCUUGAUUGGGCCUCUCUUUCCUA